Molecule: transfer RNA, 86 nt
Filed under: Phocoenobacter skyensis
Lineage: Bacteria; Pseudomonadati; Pseudomonadota; Gammaproteobacteria; Pasteurellales; Pasteurellaceae
Description: tRNA-Leu
Rfam family: tRNA
About the family: Transfer RNA (tRNA) molecules are approximately 80 nucleotides in length.
Source: RNAcentral
GCCUGAGUGACGAAAUUGGUAGACGUAGUGGAUUCAAAAUCCACCGAUGAAUAAUCGUGUCGGUUCGAGUCCGACCUCAGGCACCA